Molecule: ribosomal RNA, 1390 nt
Filed under: human gut metagenome
Description: bacterial LSU rRNA
Rfam family: Bacterial large subunit ribosomal RNA
Source: RNAcentral
AGAGUGCGUAAUAGCUCACUAGUCGAGAGGUCCUGCGCCGAAAAUGUCCGGGGCUGAAACACGACACCGAAGCUUAGGAAUCGAAAGAUUGGUAGAGGAGCAUUGAAUACGGAACGAAGCAGUACCGGAAGGAGCUGUGGACUGUAUUGAAGAGAGAAUGCCGGAAUGAGUAGCGAGAUUUAAGUGAGAAUCUUAAAGGCCGAAUAUCUAAGGUUUCCAGGGUAAAGCUGAUCUUCCCUGGGUAAGUCGGGGCCUAAGGCGAGGACGAAAGUCGUAGUCGAUGGAUAACAGGUUGAAAUUCCUGUACCGCAUAUAUUCAGAAAUGUGGGGACACAGAUGGAGAGUACAACCCGGGAAUGGAUAGACCGGGGCAAGCGAGGUAGGAGAAUGGCAGGCAAAUCCACCAUUCAAUCUGAAGACGUGACGCGUACCGAACAAGAGUAGGGAAGUGUAUGAGCCAGCUGUCGAGAAAAGCCGCUAUUGUGAUAUAUGCGCCCGUACCGUAAACCGACACAGGUGGAUGAGGAGAGAAUCCUAAGGCCGGCGGGAGAAGUGUUGUUAAGGAACUCGGCAAAAUGACCCCGUAACUUCGGGAGAAGGGGUGCCUCGGAAGAGGCCGCAGAGAAAUGGCCCAAGCAACUGUUUAGCAAAAACAUAGGUCUAUGCAAAACCGAAAGGUGAGGUAUAUGGGCUGACGCCUGCCCGGUGCUGGAAGGUUAAGAGGAGAGGUUAGCGCAAGCGAAGCUUUGAAUUUAAGCCCCAGUAAACGGCGGCCGUAACUAUAACGGUCCUAAGGUAGCGAAAUUCCUUGUCGGGUAAGUUCCGACCCGCACGAAAGGCGUAAUGAUUUGGGCACUGUCUCAACAACACACCCGGUGAAAUUGAAAUACCAGUGAAGAUGCUGGUUACCUGCGCCAGGACGGAAAGACCCCAUGGAGCUUUACUCCAGCUUGAUACUGGGAUUCGGUACUACCUGUACAGGAUAGGUGGGAGGCUAUGAUCACGGGACGCCAGUUUCGUGUGAGCCGCUGUUGGGAUACCACCCUUGUAGUACUGGAUUCCUAACCUACAGCCGUGAACCGGCUGGGGGACAAUGUCUGGCGGGGAGUUUGACUGGGGCGGUCGCCUCCGAAAGGGUAUCGGAGGCGCUCAAAGGUUCCCUCAGAAUGGUUGGAAACCAUUCGAAGAGUGCAAAGGCAGAAGGGAGCUUGACUGCGACACCGACGGGUGGAGCAGGUACGAAAGUAGGACUUAGUGAUCCGGUGGUAUAAAGUGGGAUUGCCAUCGCUCAACGGAUAAAAGCUACCCUGGGGAUAACAGGCUUAUCACUCCCAAGAGUUCACAUCGACGGAGUGGUUUGGCACCUCGAUGUCGGCUCAUCGCAUCCUGG